This is a long non-coding RNA of Apis dorsata (giant honeybee), 385 nucleotides long. RefSeq lists it as uncharacterized. The transcript has 2 exons. Lineage: Eukaryota; Metazoa; Arthropoda; Insecta; Hymenoptera; Apidae. The record is from RefSeq and is a predicted model, not a curated record.
AUACACACAUAUAAGUAAUAGAAACAACAAGCAACAAAGGGCAAAGAGAAUAACAACAACAACAAUAAAACAACAACAGUAAGAAUAAUAAAAUAAUAAAAAUAAUAAACGAUAGCUGUUAAGAAGAAAAGAAAGAAGAGAAGAGGAUCGUACAAGAGGAGUGUGAACGCUUAUACAUAAUUCUAGAAACGCGCUACGGUUAAGAGUACUUCCACAUUGCGAUUAAUUAAUUUCAACUCAAGCGAUUGCUGCGCCUGUUCUACAUACACGAUCAAGAUACCUCAAGACAGCAACGGGCGACGAAGCGACACGAUCAGCAUGCACCUGGGACCGCGGUUCGAGGCGCACUUCAAGAUGCGGUAGAGGAAGUCCCUCGACCCGAGCU